GCCUACAGCCAUGCCACCCUGAACAAGCCUGAUGUUGAUCUCGGAAGCUAAGCAGGGUAGGGCCUGGUUAGUACUUGGAUGGGAGACCACCUAGGAUAGACCAGGUGCUGUAGGAA
This 116-nucleotide ribosomal RNA is filed under the name Pteropus alecto (black flying fox). Lineage: Eukaryota; Metazoa; Chordata; Mammalia; Chiroptera; Pteropodidae. The record is from RNAcentral.